This 578-nucleotide long non-coding RNA is filed under the name Prunus persica (peach). RNAcentral's name for it is "long non-coding RNA (PPER_LNC005483)". The record is from RNAcentral. Lineage: Eukaryota; Viridiplantae; Streptophyta; Magnoliopsida; Rosales; Rosaceae.
CGUGACCACGUAAAUCUUGCCAUCUCUUCCACCAAUGGCAUUUUUCCCAAACCCAAUUGCGCAAUCUGCCAGCCUCUGCCUGUUCUGCUCCCAAUUUGGGUCACAUCGCCAGCAAUCAUCAAUGGGGUUUCCAGUCCCGCAUGACAAGUAGCCCAAGUUCCUCCUAGAAACAGAGUCAUUGAUGCUCCUGCAGCCCCAACAAGGAAAAAAUGUCAUAUUUUUUCAAGUGUAGUCUAAUGUACGAGGAGAGGAAUUGAACUCGGAUGCAAAAAGACGGGCACAAUGCCGUGACAAAAGAGAUGUUAUAAAUAUAAAUAUGCAAGUUAGUUCUUGAGAGCUACCAUAAUAAUUAUUGGUGGAGCCUUACCUUUGUACAUCUUGUACAACCAAUUCAGGGUUUUGCUGCAGUGGUCUGGAGGCAAUGAGGGUUGGGGUGAGGAGACAGAAGAGGAGGAAGCUGAGGAGAGAGAGAGGUGAGGGGCCUAAGGAGGGCCUCGCCAUUUUGGCCUUGUGUGUGUUUUAGGUGUGCAAGGCACUAGGGUAGCAAAGCAGAGAGGAGAAAAGGAAGUGUGUUUGUG